Molecule: non-coding RNA, 971 nt
Filed under: Natalus stramineus (Mexican greater funnel-eared bat)
Lineage: Eukaryota; Metazoa; Chordata; Mammalia; Chiroptera; Natalidae
Description: 12S ribosomal RNA
Rfam family: Bacterial small subunit ribosomal RNA
Source: RNAcentral
CAUAGGUUUGGUCCUGGCCUUUCUAUUAACUGUUAGUAAAAUUACACAUGCAAGUAUCCGCAACCCAGUGAGAAUGCCCUAUAAGUCCUAACGGACAAAAAGGAGCUGGUAUCAAGCACACAUAAGUAGCUCACAACACCUUGCUCAGCCACACCCCCACGGGAAACAGCAGUGAUAAAAAUUUAGCCAUAAACGAAAGUCUGACUAAGUUAUACUAAUUAUCUAUAAGGGUUGGUAAAUUUCGUGCCAGCCACCGCGGUCAUACGAUUAACCCAAAUUAAUAGACACCCGGCGUAAAGCGUGCCCAAGAAUAUUAUACAAUAAGGUUAAACUCUGGCUAAUCUGUAAAAAGUCAUAGCCACCGUAAAAUACACCACGAAAGCAACCUUACAACAUCCCACCGCACGACAGCUAAGACCCAAACUGGGAUUAGAUACCCCACUAUGCUUAGCCUUAAACCUAAAAAUUAUGUAAAACAAAAUUAUUCGCCAGAGUACUACUAGCAAAAGCUUAAAACUCAAAGGACUUGGCGGUGCUUUAUAUCCAUCUAGAGGAGCCUGUUCUAUAAUCGAUAAACCCCGAUAAACCUCACCAACUCUUGCCAAUACAGCCUAUAUACCGCCAUCUUCAGCAAACCCUAAAAAGGAACUAAAGUAAGCAAAAAUAUCUAAACAUAAAGACGUUAGGUCAAGGUGUAGCCCAUGAGUUGGCAAGAAAUGGGCUACAUUUCCUAUCCAUUAGGUCACCAAAUUUUACACGAAAAUUUUUGUGAAAUCAAAAAUUAAAGGUGGAUUUAGUAGUAAAUUAAGAAUAGAGAGCUUAAUUGAAUUAGGCCAUGAAGCACGCACACACCGCCCGUCACCCUCCUCAAGCAAUUAAUCCACAACUAUAACAUAUUGAAACGUUACAAACCUGUAAGAGGAGAUAAGUCGUAACAAGGUAAGCGUACUGGAAAGUGCGCUUGGAUAACC